GCCUACGGGGGGCAGCAGUGGGGAAUAUUGCACAAUGGGGGGAACCCUGAUGCAGCGACGCCGCGUGGGUGAAGGAGGACUUCGGGACGUAAAGCCCUAUCAGCAGGAAAGAAAAUGACGGUACCUGACUAAGAAGCCCCGGCUAACUACGUGCCGGCAGCCGCGGUAAUACGUAGGGGGCAAGCGUUAUCCGGAUUUACUGGGUGGAAAGGGAGCGUAGACGGCAGUGCAAGUCCGGAGUGAAAGCCAGGGGGUCA
Molecule: ribosomal RNA, 257 nt
Filed under: uncultured bacterium
Lineage: Bacteria
Description: partial 16S ribosomal RNA
Rfam family: Bacterial small subunit ribosomal RNA
Source: RNAcentral